CAGCCGCCACGGGAAUACAGAGGGUGCGAGCGUUAAUCGGAUUUACUGGGCGUAAAGCGUGCGUAGGCGGCUUCUUAAGUCGGAUGUGAAAUCCCUGAGCUUAACUUAGGAAUUGCAUUCGAUACUGGGAAGCUAGAGUAUGGGAGAGGAUGGUAGAAUUCCAGGUGUAGCGGUGAAAUGCGUAGAGAUCUGGAGGAAUACCGAUGGCGAAGGCAGCCAUCUGGCCUAAUACUGACGCUGAGGUACGAAAGCGUGGGGAGCAAACAGGAUUAGAUACCCCCGUAGUCCCUGUCUCUUAUAC
RNAcentral lists this ribosomal RNA (301 nucleotides) under uncultured bacterium. RNAcentral's name for it is "partial 16S ribosomal RNA". It matches the Rfam family "Bacterial small subunit ribosomal RNA", at positions 509 to 807 of the family's 1533-position model. The record is from RNAcentral.